GUCCACACUGUAAACGAUGGAUACUAGGUGUAGGGUGUAUUAAACAUUCUGUGCCGCCGCAAACGCAUUAAGUAUCCCACCUGGGGAGUACGACCGCAAGGUUGAAACUCAAAGGAAUUGACGGGGGCCCGCACAAGCAGUGGAGUAUGUGGUUUAAUUCGAAGCAACGCGAAGAACCUUACCAGGGCUUGACAUAUACAGGAAUAAGUAAGAGAUUACUUAGCUCUUCGGAGUCUGUAUACAGGUGGUGCAUGGUUGUCGUCAGCUCGUGUCGUGAGAUGUUGGGUUAAGUCCCGCAACGAGCGCAACCCCUGUCCUUAGUUGCCAGCACGUAAAGGUGGGAACUCUAAGGAGACUGCCGGUGAUAAAUCGGAGGAAGGUGGGGAUGACGUCAAAUCAUCAUGCCCUUUAUGUCCUGGGCUACACACGUACUACAAUGGCCGUGACAGAGAGAAACGAAGUAGUGAUGCAGAGUAAAACUCAAAAAACGGUCUCAGUUCGGAUUGAAGGCUGAAAUUCGCCUUCAUGAAGCUGGAAUUGCUAGUAAUGGCAGGUCAGCAUACUGCCGUGAAUACGUUCCCGGGCCUUGUACACACCGCCCGUCACACCAUGAGAGUUGGAAAUACCCGAAGCCUGUGAGCUAACUUAUAGAGGCAGCAGUCGAAGGUAGAGCCAAUGAUUGGGGUGAAGUCGUAACAAGGUAGCCGUAUCGGAAGGUGCGGUUGGAUCACCUC
Molecule: ribosomal RNA, 734 nt
Filed under: uncultured bacterium
Lineage: Bacteria
Description: bacterial SSU rRNA
Rfam family: Bacterial small subunit ribosomal RNA
Source: RNAcentral